RNAcentral lists this long non-coding RNA (295 nucleotides) under Brassica napus (rape). RNAcentral describes it as "long non-coding RNA (BNAP_LNC006485)". The record is from RNAcentral. Lineage: Eukaryota; Viridiplantae; Streptophyta; Magnoliopsida; Brassicales; Brassicaceae.
UGGCGGCGACAAGCGCAUCUGCUUUGCUCUCACCAACAACUUUCUCCACCGUAAUCUCCCAGAAAAACCCAAACUCCAUCUCAUUCCACGGCCUUCGUCCUCUCCGACUCGGUGGCUCCUCCGCCUUACCAAAGCUAUCCACCACCUCCGGAAGAAGAUCUUCCUCCUCCGCCGUUGUGAGAGCUGAGCUUAGCCCAUCGGUCGUCAUAAGCCUCAGCACAGGUCUCUCCCUCUUCCUAGGCCGGUUCGUCUUCUUCAACUUUCAGAGAGAGAAUGUGGCAAAACAGGUGCCGGA